Molecule: long non-coding RNA, 364 nt
Organism: Ornithodoros turicata
Lineage: Eukaryota; Metazoa; Arthropoda; Arachnida; Ixodida; Argasidae
Exons: 4
Source: RefSeq, a predicted model, not a curated record
AUCUCCGGGCAUCUAUUUACCAUGACGACCUACAGUAAAAUGAGACAACUCGUCAUGGAUUUCAAUAUUUAUUGGUAUGAGGACGGCGACAUUUUCCUUGGAUUUGAUGAUCCUGGGUAACGUCCCGCAUGCCGCACACAUCAUCACCCGAUUGGGACCCGGAAUCGCCAGCGUUGGCUGGCUGUUCGACAUCGGACCAGUGAUCGCCAGUCAUUUCGUCGUCGGUGGUGGCAGGUAGUUCUCCGGAACCCAAGUCCUUCUACGACUUCCAGAAGGUUGCAACAGCCGGUCCAACGUGUCCGAAGGAUCAUCGUCGUCAUCAUUACAUCAGUGUACAAAAACCUGUCAGCAGAAUAUUUGGAAU